AACGUGAAGAACCUUACCAGGGUUUGACAUCCUCUGGCAUCCACGAGAGAUAGUGGUCCCUUCGGGGCGGGAGGACAGGUGCUGCAUGGCUGUUGUCAGCUCGUGCCGUGAGGUGUUGGGUUAAGUCCCGCAACGAGCGCAACCCCUGUGGUCGGUUGUAUGUAUCCGAGCAGACUGCCACGAGCAACGUGGAGGAAGGUGGGGAUGAUGUCAAGUCAGCACGGCCCUGACAUCCUGGGCGACACACACGCUACAAUGGCCGCGACAGAGGGACGCCAACCCGCGAGGGGGAGCCAAUCCUAGCGAAGGCGGCCUCAGUUCGGAUGGCAGGCUGCAACCCGCAUGCCUGAACGCCCCAGAUGGACCUACAAUGCGCGCAUGAUACGAAGGAGAUAAGUCCCGGGGUUUUUCAUCGCUAAG
RNAcentral lists this ribosomal RNA (420 nucleotides) under uncultured bacterium. Its description in RNAcentral is "bacterial SSU rRNA". The stretch from base 1 to 352 matches the Rfam family "Bacterial small subunit ribosomal RNA", at positions 958 to 1325 of the family's 1533-position model. The record is from RNAcentral.